Molecule: ribosomal RNA, 497 nt
Filed under: uncultured bacterium
Lineage: Bacteria
Description: partial 16S ribosomal RNA
Rfam family: Bacterial small subunit ribosomal RNA
Source: RNAcentral
GAUGAACGCUGGCGGCGUGCCUAAUACAUGCAAGUCGAGCGAACAGAUGAGGAACUUGCUCCUCUGACGUUAGCGGCGGACGGGUGAGUAACACGUGGAUAACCUACCUAUAAGACUGGGAUAACUUCGGGAAACCGGAGCUAAUACCGGAUAAUAUCUUGAAACGCAUGGUUCAAUAGUGAAAGACGGUUUUGCUGUCCCUUAUAGAUGGAUCCGCGCCGCAUUAGCUAGUUGGUAAGGUAACGGCUUACAAAGGCAACGAUGCGUAGCCGACCUGAGAGGGUGAUCGGCCACACUGGAACUGAGACACGGUCCAGACUCCUACGGGAGGCAGCAGUAGGGAAUCUUCCGCAAUGGGCGAAAGCCUGACGGAGCAACGCCGCGUGAUUGAUGAAGGUCUUCGGAUCGUAAAACUCUGUUAUUAGGGAAGAACAAAUGUGUAAGUAACUAUGCACGUCUUGACGGUACCUAAUCAGAAAGCCACGGCUAACUACGUG